Molecule: long non-coding RNA, 402 nt
Organism: Hemicordylus capensis (graceful crag lizard)
Lineage: Eukaryota; Metazoa; Chordata; Lepidosauria; Squamata; Cordylidae
Exons: 3
Source: RefSeq, a predicted model, not a curated record
UGGAGCCCUGAGGGACACCAUACAGAAGUUCAGUUUUUGAAGAACAGUCCCAGAGGGACACCAUCUGGAAUCUGCCAGAGAGGUGGUUGGAGCACCACUCUCUUUGGUUCCUGGAUUACCACCAGAUGUCAGCAACCAUCAUAAGUGGAACUGGAGAGGAAACGAAAAGUCUAUUAUCUUUACGAAAGGAAUGAGUCCUAUCCAGAUAGAAGGCCAGUGCUCAGCGAACAUCCAAUGUGUGUAGAGAGUGUUCUAAAUCAGACUGUGGGUUGCGGGAAAAGGCUGGCAGGAUCACAUCUUUGUUAAUGUGAAAACUUGUGUUUAUCUUUGGAAUAAAAGAUAUGUCCAUACGCAUGACUACUUUGUCUUUGUGAAACCUGACAUAAGGGGGUUCAGACCUUA